This 419-nucleotide ribosomal RNA is filed under the name Micromonosporaceae bacterium Ellin7155. Its description in RNAcentral is "bacterial SSU rRNA". It matches the Rfam family "Bacterial small subunit ribosomal RNA", at positions 28 to 454 of the family's 1533-position model. The record is from RNAcentral. Lineage: Bacteria; Bacillati; Actinomycetota; Actinomycetes; Micromonosporales; Micromonosporaceae.
GACGAACGCUGGCGGCGUGCUUAACACAUGCAAGUCGAGCGGAAAGGCCUUCGGGUACUCGAGCGGCGAACGGGUGAGUAACACGUGAGCAACCUGCCCCAGGCUUUGGGAUAACCCCGGGAAACCGGGGCUAAUACCGAAUAUUACUGCUGAUCGCAUGGUUGGUGGUGGAAAGUUUUUCGGCUUGGGAUGGGCUCGCGGCCUAUCAGCUUGUUGGUGGGGUGAUGGCCUACCAAGGCGACGACGGGUAGCCGGCCUGAGAGGGCGACCGGCCACACUGGGACUGAGACACGGCCCAGACUCCUACGGGAGGCAGCAGUGGGGAAUAUUGCACAAUGGGCGGAAGCCUGAUGCAGCGACGCCGCGUGAGGGAUGACGGCCUUCGGGUUGUAAACCUCUUUCAGCAGGGACGAAGCGCA